This 253-nucleotide ribosomal RNA is filed under the name uncultured bacterium. RNAcentral's name for it is "partial 16S ribosomal RNA". It matches the Rfam family "Bacterial small subunit ribosomal RNA", at positions 524 to 776 of the family's 1533-position model. The record is from RNAcentral.
UACGUAGGGGGCAAGCGUUGUCCGGAUUUAUUGGGCGUAAAGAGCGUGUAGGCGGUUAGGUAGGUCCGUUGUGAAAACUCGAGGCUCAACCUCGAGACGCCGAUGGAAACCAUCUGACUAGAGUCCGGAAGAGGAGAGUGGAAUUCCUGGUGUAGCGGUGAAAUGCGUAGAUAUCGUUUGGAACGCCAAUGGUGAAAACAGGUCGCUGGGGAUGAGCUGACGCUGAGACACGAAAGCCAGGGGAGCAAACGGG